This 72-nucleotide transfer RNA is filed under the name Marmota monax (woodchuck). It matches the Rfam family "tRNA". Rfam says of the family: Transfer RNA (tRNA) molecules are approximately 80 nucleotides in length. The record is from Rfam by way of RNAcentral. Lineage: Eukaryota; Metazoa; Chordata; Mammalia; Rodentia; Sciuridae.
GUGGAUAGAGCUCAGUUGGUAGAGUGCUUGCCUUGCAUGCACAAGGCACUGGGUUCAAUCCCCAGCACCACA